GCGGCUCCCUGCCCAGUAGGUUUCAAGAGAACCUACUGGGCAGGGAGCCGCUUUUU
RNAcentral lists this small RNA (56 nucleotides) under synthetic construct. Its description in RNAcentral is "Scramble short hairpin RNA". The record is from RNAcentral.